Gallus gallus (chicken) is the source of this 1571-nucleotide long non-coding RNA. The record is from Ensembl. NCBI's taxonomy places the organism in Eukaryota, Metazoa, Chordata, Aves, Galliformes, Phasianidae.
GAGUCACUAUCUAGGCCAGCAGAGAUGGGGGUGAAGAAAGAAAUACCCCUUCCAACUUCUGUGUUGCUUCUAUGGCACAUACCUGUGUAAAAAACAGGUAUAGUAAGGAUCUGUACUAUCUCCUCUCCAGCUGAGACUGAGUUGGGGAUGGCAGGAGACCUCCACGCUUAAGUAACAUCUGUAUCUUUGGCUAUUUUUGACCAGCCUUUGUACAGUGCAGAGAUAUAAUCAGUUUUGCAUGCCACUGACACUCCUGUGAUGGACAGUCUAUCAUCAUCUCCCACAGAAAUGGCCUAUUUCCUCGUCACUCACCCUGAAGAUAAGAGAGGACUCGCACAGUACAGGGUCACAGAAUAUAAGUGAGAACAGAAACCAGUAGGAGAUUGAGAGUCCAAACACUUCCUCCAUGCAUUCUUAGGAGAAAUAGAUCAAAAUUAAUUCUCAUUGGACCUUAAAACCAAGAAAUAAGUAAAGAUGUGUGAUCAAUUCCACUCCCAGCACAAGAGAUCAGGCAGGAAACUGGCAUCAUGGGCAGCAAGGAGAAGAGAUAUAAGCAUCUGUGGGCAACAGGCUUCUUGAUGAAUGUAGAUGAUCACGUCUGUUCACAGCUUAAGUUUUCUGCCUCCAACAAACUGCUGGCUACCAUCUGAUGGCAAAAUAAACCCAGAUUAUGUGCAUCAGCUCCACUGGCUGCUCUAAUAGCAAAGCAUUUGUAUAUCUGGGUGCUUGAGCCACUCUGAAAUAUUGAAGUUUAAGAUUCAAAUCCUUCUUAUGAAAGGGGAUAUGGUGUAAUCCACUUUUCAUUCAGUGGCUUUUGAAUUUCUAGACUGAGAAAAUAUCCUUAAGACUGUUGUACAGUUUAAAAUUACUGUGUGUUGGCUGCAAAACUCUGCAUGGCAUCCCACAUUUAUUUCCCUGCAUUUGGCACACACUGGAAAAGCUGGAGUUUGAGAAGUACUGUUCAGAUUUCAGUAAUCUAUAUAUAAGAACAUCUCAAGAAACUAUACAAAGAGCUACCAUAGGGUAUUUUUUGUCUACUACCUAGAAUAUAAUUAAGUUAGUUUGCCUAAUGUAUUAUAAACCCCAGUUGCCUGCUACUUAUCACCUUAUUUUGCUGUAGCUGCUUACACAACAACUGCUUUAUUAAUUCCUCUAGCUAUUUGUUAGCAAUUGACAUAGAGUUCUUCAUGUUCUUGUUCCCCAUCCUCCAUUACCUGUAUAGAGAGGAAGUAUUCUCUUUUCUUGAAAGGAAAAGUUGCUUCAUGUUCUUUCCCAACAGACAACCUUUAAAGCCACAUUUCUCUUUCAGGAAUGCUUGCCAGUAGUCUCCAGCAGUUCUGAUUAUUCAACUGAUUACCUACUCUACAUUUUAUUGUACUACCUUGAGUGGAAGUCUAUAUACACAUUUUCUAUGGCUUCAUGUUAAAACUGUUGUUUCAUCGAUUUGUUUUGUGAUUUUUCUUGUUGUUUUCUAGCUGCUACUGGGUAAGGCUUUCUAUAGGUAUUAGCAUUUUUACUGCAAAGUGUUUCAAUCUUAUAAUAAAGUAGAAUACUCUGCACGUAUUUCCUGC